Molecule: small RNA, 265 nt
Filed under: Meriones unguiculatus (Mongolian gerbil)
Lineage: Eukaryota; Metazoa; Chordata; Mammalia; Rodentia; Muridae
Description: 7SK RNA (ENSMUGG00000026022.1)
Rfam family: 7SK RNA
About the family: 7SK was discovered as an abundant small nuclear RNA in the mid-70s but a possible function has only recently been suggested.
Source: RNAcentral
UCCAUCUGGCUCCAACAUCUGUAACCCCGUUGAUGGCCAGGAUUGAUUCUGCUGAUCUGGCAGGCUAGGCAUGUGUCCCCUUCCUCCGUCACUGCUCUGUGUGCUUCACUCCUGAAGCUGCAGGCUGAGUCAAAGAGGAAAACCUUCCAGUAACAGAGGAGGACCGGGCUUUGGUCAGGGGUAUAUGAAUAGCUGCACUCCCCUGCUAGAACCUCCAAACACCAGUCUGUUUCUAUGCCACUACCAUGCAGUUUUUUGUUUGUUU